RNAcentral lists this unclassified non-coding RNA (372 nucleotides) under soil metagenome. RNAcentral's name for it is "partial contains 5.8S ribosomal RNA, internal transcribed spacer 2, and large subunit ribosomal RNA". The stretch from base 1 to 120 matches the Rfam family "5.8S ribosomal RNA", at positions 35 to 154 of the family's 154-position model. The record is from RNAcentral.
GAUGAAGAACGUAGCGAAAUGCGAUAAGUAAUGUGAAUUGCAGAAUUCAGUGAAUCAUCGAAUCUUUGAACGCACAUUGCGCCCCCCGGCAUUCCGGGGGGCAUGCCUGUUCGAGCGUCUCCAGGACGAAUCCUCGCGCGAGUGAACGCGCGGUCGUGGCGGAGGUGGCGUGCCCGAGCAGGGGGGCCACCGCGCUGGAAUCCAUGGGCGGACGCCUGCCGCGUGGCCGAGCGUGAUAUGACGCAUUGGCGCUCGUGCGCGGCGAGGCUGCCAGCCCUGGCCCGUCUGUCGGGCGGGGUAGAUCACCACGUGGGAACUCCUCGAAUCAGGUAGGGAUACCCGCUGAACUUAAGCAUAUCAAUAAGCGGAGGA